AGUGAAAAUGGCGGCCUCCCAAUCUCCACACCAGAGGAGCCAAGAACUUGGGGCCCCCCUCCUCAGUGCAUCCCCAGAGAAAAGCAGUCAAUCACUCCCAUCUCCCCAGUCUGCGGCUGCACUCCUUGCUCACCCAGCCUGUGACUGACCCCAUGUGGAGUCUCCAAACCCAGCAGAUUCCUGCAGUGCGCUCCCGCGCUGCUCCUCCCAGGGAGGAAGGGGGAAAACAUUAAACUAAUGAACGUCGUGCCUCGUUUGUCAAGAUCUGAGUCACUGGCAUGAAGCAUCUUUCACUGUAAAUGCAAUUUGGGAGAUUCAACCAUACUUCUCCUAUCUGAAAAUACCCAAGUGACUUCAAGAGCCAUGCCUGGCUCGUGGCUAUGAGAGUGGACAGCACAAACGCAGAGGAAAAGUGAAGGCCAGUG
Molecule: long non-coding RNA, 425 nt
Organism: Mirounga angustirostris (Northern elephant seal)
Lineage: Eukaryota; Metazoa; Chordata; Mammalia; Carnivora; Phocidae
Exons: 3
Source: RefSeq, a predicted model, not a curated record